Long non-coding RNA from Capra hircus (goat), 1126 nucleotides. RefSeq lists it as uncharacterized. Lineage: Eukaryota; Metazoa; Chordata; Mammalia; Artiodactyla; Bovidae. The transcript is spliced from 3 exons. The record is from RefSeq and is a predicted model, not a curated record.
CACACAUGUACGAGCACAUGUGUAUGUGCGUGAGUGUAUAUCUCACAGGCAAGGUUUGGUGAGAAAAACCGGAUAACAAACAAAAAAAUCUGUGAAUCUUUUUCACCCUUGGUCUUUUUUAUAGCUUUCCUUUCUACUUCUGUUCCAGUUUGCUUAGACAUUUGAGUGACUUUUAGGACAGUUACCUUGACCAACAGAGAGGAAAAUUGAAUUCUCUGCACCUUAUGGCUUUGAAAAAGUCUUAAGAAUUGCUUGGCGAAGUCGCCUAGAGAUUGCUUGAACCGGAUCAUACAGUAACCAUAAAUGCGUUCUUUAAGUCUGUGAGUCUGUCAGAAGGCCUCAUUUUAAAGAGACGGGUUCUGACAAGUUCAGAGGAAGGAAAAUGAGAAAAGAGGAAGUCUGGCGGGAAAUUCGGCUGAGGGAGCGGAGGGCAUAGUGGCGGAUGUGGCCGGAGGAAGGGAGGCAGAGGGCGUCAGAGCCUGAGACAAAGACGAGCCUGAGGCCUGAGGAGCCACCGUGUCUUCCUUUGUUCACGUCAGUUAAUCCAGCUGGAGCCCCGUUUACUUUCUGCAAGAACCACCGAGAGACAAGCUGGCUGUUCAGAGUUCAGUAUUUGGAAGACAUUUUUCAGAAGCGCAUGAAGUGAAUCUGUGGCUUCAAGGGAAGCAGCUGACAACACUUGUUGCCAAUGGUAAAGUAAGAGUUUUCAAGUGGAAAUUGUGGAUAGCUGCUCUGAGUACUGGAAAGCUCCCUAAUAAUUGAAGAGUUUUCUGACAAAGCGUGAUGUUAAUGACAGCGGCUCUUUGGGACUGUGUAAGGAAGCAUGUCGGCAUUGGAAAACUCUGCACGUAACCCAGGGAACCAUCGUUUUCCAAAUGACCGACACGCAGCACGACAAAGUCUACAGGGAGCUUCCCGUUGCUGCGGCAACAAACCACUGCAAACCCAGUGGUAUACACAGCAAGCUCGUGACCCCGCACCUCUGCGGGUCGGAGGUCUGGCGCGGGUCUCCCUGUGGCCCUCUCUGGAGGCUCCAGGGGAGAAACUGCUUCCUUGUCUUUCCCGCCUCGAGCCAACAGUGUGUGCGCUCAGCCAUGUCCAACUCGUUGCCACCCUUUGGACUGUA